Molecule: ribosomal RNA, 924 nt
Filed under: Microbacterium sp. IR-463
Lineage: Bacteria; Bacillati; Actinomycetota; Actinomycetes; Micrococcales; Microbacteriaceae
Description: bacterial SSU rRNA
Rfam family: Bacterial small subunit ribosomal RNA
Source: RNAcentral
AGAGUUUGAUCAUGGCUCAGGAUGAACGCUGGCGGCGUGCUUAACACAUGCAAGUCGAACGGUGAAGCAGAGCUUGCUCUGUGGAUCAGUGGCGAACGGGUGAGUAACACGUGAGCAACCUGCCCCGGACUCUGGGAUAAGCGCUGGAAACGGUGUCUAAUACCGGAUACGAGACAAGACGGCAUCGUCAUUGUCUGGAAAGAUUUUUUGGUCUGGGAUGGGCUCGCGGCCUAUCAGCUUGUUGGUGAGGUAAUGGCUCACCAAGGCGUCGACGGGUAGCCGGCCUGAGAGGGUGACCGGCCACACUGGGACUGAGACACGGCCCAGACUCCUACGGGAGGCAGCAGUGGGGAAUAUUGCACAAUGGGCGAAAGCCUGAUGCAGCAACGCCGCGUGAGGGAUGACGGCCUUCGGGUUGUAAACCUCUUUUAGCAGGGAAGAAGCGAGAGUGACGGUACCUGCAGAAAAAGCGCCGGCUAACUACGUGCCAGCAGCCGCGGUAAUACGUAGGGCGCAAGCGUUAUCCGGAAUUAUUGGGCGUAAAGAGCUCGUAGGCGGUUUGUCGCGUCUGCUGUGAAAUCCCGAGGCUCAACCUCGGGCCUGCAGUGGGUACGGGCAGACUAGAGUGCGGUAGGGGAGAUUGGAAUUCCUGGUGUAGCGGUGGAAUGCGCAGAUAUCAGGAGGAACACCGAUGGCGAAAGCAGAUCUCUGGGCCGUAACUGACGCUGAGGAGCGAAAGGGUGGGGAGCAAACAGGCUUAGAUACCCUGGUAGUCCACCCCGUAAACGUUGGGAACUAGUUGUGGGGUCCAUUCCACGGAUUCCGUGACGCAGCUAACGCAUUAAGUUCCCCGCCUGGGGAGUACGGCCGCAAGGCUUAAACUCAAAGGAAUUGACGGGACCCGCACAAGCGGCGGAGCAUGCG